GCCAAACAAAAUCUUUGACUUUGGAGGGAGGGUAGAAUUCCAUAAUUUAAGCCAUGGCCCAUCGACGACAACAUAACGGGUACUCUCAAACAUAUUAAAGGCGAGACGGUAGGCAGACUUAACGGUGUAAAUACCAUGCUUCUCAUAAUGCCAAAUAAGCCUAUCACGAGUGUGGAAUAAACUAACCGGUAUUUGAAGAGUACGAAUGAUGUCUGAUGGAACCAUCAAGCCGUCGAU
Molecule: long non-coding RNA, 237 nt
Filed under: Gossypium barbadense (sea-island cotton)
Lineage: Eukaryota; Viridiplantae; Streptophyta; Magnoliopsida; Malvales; Malvaceae
Description: long non-coding RNA (GBAR_LNC020245)
Source: RNAcentral